Molecule: microRNA, 23 nt
Filed under: Spodoptera frugiperda (fall armyworm)
Lineage: Eukaryota; Metazoa; Arthropoda; Insecta; Lepidoptera; Noctuidae
Also listed under: 2 other names
Description: sfr-miR-274-5p
Gene: sfr-miR-274-5p
Source: miRBase by way of RNAcentral
UUUGUGACCGUCACUAACGGGCA